This 254-nucleotide ribosomal RNA is filed under the name uncultured bacterium. RNAcentral describes it as "partial 16S ribosomal RNA". It matches the Rfam family "Bacterial small subunit ribosomal RNA", at positions 524 to 776 of the family's 1533-position model. The record is from RNAcentral.
UACGUAGGGUGCGAGCGUUAAUCGGAAUUACUGGGCGUAAAGCGUGCGCAGGCGGCUUUGCAAGACAGAUGUGAAAUCCCCGGGCUCAACCUGGGAACUGCAUUUGGUGACUGCAAGGCUAGAGUACGGCAGAGGGGGAUGGAAUUCCGCGUGUAGCAGUGAAAUGCGUAGAUAUGCGGAGGAACACCAAUGGCGAAGGCAAUCCCCUGGGCCUGUACUGACGCUCAUGCACGAAAGCGUGGGGAGCAAACAGG